This 354-nucleotide unclassified non-coding RNA is filed under the name Hevea brasiliensis (rubber tree). The record is from RNAcentral. Lineage: Eukaryota; Viridiplantae; Streptophyta; Magnoliopsida; Malpighiales; Euphorbiaceae.
GAAAAAUAAGAAAUUGUAUAAAAAAACUAUUUUUUUCCAUUUCCCAUUUUGCACUAUAUAGACUAAUCUCAAAAGAAGGGUUUAUCAAAAAGGGAAUAAUUAUACAGGAUUGCCUAUUACUUAUACACCAAAAGAAAUAAAAAAGUGAUGCUUGAUGGUCCUACCUCCUUUCCUCUACAUCAAGAAAAAUUAUAAACGGUAGAAAUCAAAGAAAAUAUUCACCUGAUUGGUAAUAACCAAUCAAAUGAAGAGACAAACCCAAAAAUAAGUCGAAUGAACCUCCUGUGAGCCACCAUUGAACCAAAAUCAUGAACAAAAUCUUCCAUCUAUUCAUCAUCUUCUGAAUCAGAUCUU